GGGAAAUAGGUGCACUGAAGGUGUAACCUGGGCAGGAAGGGCCUGGGGCAGCUUUGAUUAUCAUUUCCCUGUUUGCUGAGAGCUGUUUCAUUAACAGUUCCUUAGAAGGGUCCCAAGCCUUGGGGACAUUAACAUUUCAAUUUCCCCAAGUGCUGUUCUGCUUUCCCAGACUCCAUUCUCUAUAAUGGCCUCUAUUUUAGUUCUCUUACUCUAUUAGACCCAAUUUACCUAACUACACUAACUACCUAUCCGUAAAUCUGGCUUCAAUAAUGCACUAUGAUCAGUGCUGUAAGGGAAAAGCAGACCCAGGAGGGUUAGUGAGAACUUUAGAAUGCAAAGUGCAUGGGACUGGGUUAUGGAGGACCUUCUCUAUUUUAUUAUUAUUAUUUUUUUCCUUUUUUAAAAAUGUGAUGCUAGAGAUUGAACCCAGGGCCUCACACAUGCUGGGGAAGUACUGCACCACUGAGCUACACCUCCAGUUCCUUUAUAUGCCAUCUUGAGGACUUUAUUUAGUAGUCUAUGGACCAUUAAAGGUUUGUAUUUUAGAAGAAAAAAUGUUCUGUUUUCCCAUUGAUCAUAAUGAGGUAUUAGGGUAGCAAAAUGUGGUAACCACCCCAACUUCUCACUGCCUUCAAGUGUUUGCCCUUUUCAUCAAAGUCAAGUGUGACAGGCAGGCUCCAAGCUCCCAGAGACCCAUAAUUGUACUUAACUAUAACACAAUUGUUUCAUUAGAAUUUUUAAAGAUUUUUGUAUAAUUGUCUUAGUAAAACACAGGAUACUUCAUAACAUUUAUAAUUGAUUUGGCCAGAUUGAUCUAACAUGGUGCUCAUAACGACUUUACUUCCAUUACUAAUAAUUUCCCUAACUUAGAGUCAGUUGAAUAGAGAGUGCGCCUCUCACCCAAGCUUGGUCAUUCUGAUGUCUUCUAGGAGUUUUGGUGCUCCAGCUGAGUUGCUAGGCUGUUCCCUUGGAAAUCGUGUUCCUGGUGUAGUUUGGAAAAACCAAAGUGCAAUGGAAAUUAAAAGAUUACAAAGAAAACCAGACAUACAGAGGGGACUGUCCAGUUUCCUAGUGGGUUCCAAACAGACUCAACUAUCCUUCCUUGUCCUUGAAUUCUUACUACAUUUGGGCUGCUGUAACAAAAUAUAGACCUGAAUGGCUUAUAAACAGUAGAAAUUUAUAAGUACUAGCUGAAUAAAGAGCACAGAAAUCAGAAAAUAAGAUUAUAUAAAUCUUGGCAAGUUUUUAGGACUUUGAUGAUGAUCAAUUAUCUGACACAGGAAUGAGAAUCUCUGAUCCAGAAUUAGCAAAUAAAUAAUGAGUGUGAAAGUGUACACAUGAUAUAGCUCAGUACUUUAUAGGUGAUUAAUGCUUUUUGUGACCCUUAUCACCACUGUUAGCAAGUAAACACUGAUCUUGUUUUUUUAAUGCAUAAUUUUUCUUUGCUUUUUCUUGAAUCCUUUAAAAAUAUUUUCUACACUCAUAUUCAUAAGUGGGAUGCAAAAAAAAAGUACACAGUGUUCUAAAUAGUGUUUAUCUCAAAUAUCAGAAGUAGGAGUACAGAGAUUAAAGAAAUUCAAAGGCAGUUAAAUGAAAAUCAAAUGGAUUGUUGAAAUGAAAAAAAUCCAAAUUCCACAUUUGAAUGUGGUUCUGAGUUAAUGCUGAAUAAAUCUGUAAGAUUUGUUAGACACCCCCUCUUCUACCUAACAAAGAGAUUGUUGCCCAGAAUUAUAUAGAUCCUAUUCUGUGUUAGACACCAUCCUUUCUUGUUUAACUCUUUUUUGAGACUGUUUCCAUGAUAAGGACUUCUUAUGUCUCUAUUUAGAAAAAGUACAACCCUUCAUGUCCACAGACCUGUCAGUCAUCUCUAGCUUUCUACUGCAUAGGUCUUUGUGGUUCAUGAUUUUGAGGAUAAAACAUAGUUCAGUCUCAGCUCUCUGACUGUUGAUCACUUUAGGCUUUUGUCUUAUUAAAAAAAUAUUAAAAACAAUUUAAGAUAUUUUGAAGUAUUAACUGAAUUUUGAAACUAUAAGUUAAAAUAUUUCCAAAUACAAUUUGUAAAUUAUAGAUUCUACACUUUUUAAUUCUUCUAGUUUUCUAUUGUAGCUCAAUCUUGUGAAGCCAAAGGGGUGGGUGUGAGUUCUUCAGCGCUCAAAAUCCAGUCCUAAGGUGACAUGAUACAAGAUGAUCCUUAGCUCUCUCCAUUAUUUAUAAAUAAUUUAUAUAUAAAUUAUGCAAUUCAUAUAUUCAUUUUUUCAACAUUUGUAUUUACAUUUUCACUAUUUAAAAAAUAUAGGGGCUGAGGUUGUAGCUCAGUGGUAGAGCACUUACCUAGCAUAUGUGAGGCCCUGGGUUCAAUUCCUAGCACCACAUAAAACUAAAUAAACAAAAUAAAGGUAUUGUGUUCAUCUACAACUAAAAUUUUUUUUUAUUAAAUAUAGAAGUGUUAAAAGUAAAAAAUGACUGUCUCCCUCUUUCUACCAUCUUCACUCCAUCACAUUCCCCAAGAGAAUCUGUUGUCAACAGUUUUUGGAUAACCUGGUUCUUGUAUUAGUGACUAAAAUAAAAACUACUUCCUCUGGUCAUAAGAUGUGGUCUUUCCAUCAAACAAACUUGGAGUAUUUUUUAAGAAGGCCAACCAGAAACCUACACUCUGGACAAGUCACCAGUCUUCCCAACAAUUUCUGGGUCUUCCAUAGUCAUGGGUUAACCACCUCACUACACCUACCCUGUAUUUAUCUAUGAUCCUUUCUUCAUACAGCAGUCACACUGAUCUUUGCAAAGCACAAAUUUGAUAUUUUUAUUAUCACGCCUCCUGCUGGAAACAUUGUCAUGACUUCUGGUUUUUUAGACCAAAAUACUUAACUGCUGUGCAGCCUAAUCUCAAUUCACUCUCAACCACAUCUUGAUCUAACUAACAGGAUGCUCUUGGCAUCCUGUCACACUGGCUCUUGGUGGCUUUUUGGUGAAUGCUGUUCUCACACCUGUGAAAUUAUUCCCAUCUAUUCCCUGUUAGGCCCUUUAGUUAGCUUCUACUCAAUCUUCAGGAGUUAGUUUAGGUGUUCCUCCCUCAGUGGCAACCAACUUUUCCUGAACUAAUCAGAAAGUUUCUCUUGUUCUCAGAGAAUCUCAUAGUAUCCUACCUAUAUUUCUCUCGUGACAUUUAAUAUGAUAUAAAAUUUUGUUUCAUUAUCAUUGCUUAUUUGAUUAGUAUAUUUUUUUACGUUAAACUCCAGUUCUUUUAUUCUUUUUCUUUUUUACUUUUUUGGUGUUAAUGGAAAUCAAACCCAGGGCCUCAUACUAGGCAUGUACUCCACCACUGAACUGUAUCUCUAGUGCCUAGACUGGUAUUUUAAUAGAGUGUCUGGCACAUAGUUGGAGCUCUUUAUUACUUAUUGAAUGAAGUAUUCCUUUCUGUACUACCCUAGUCUUUUCCAUUGUAACCUUUGUUUCAAUGAUAUAUCAUUUCCCAAAAAGUUCUCUUUUUUGUCCUUUGGAACUGGGAUUGAACUCAGAGGCUCUUUACUAUUGAGCUACAUCCCUAGCCAUUUUUAUGUUUUUUACUUUGAAACAUGGUCUCAGUUAGCAAGACCCUGUCUCAAAAAAAAAAAAAAAAAAGUGUGGGGGAGGUGCUGGGGAUGUGGCUCAGUGGUUAAGCACCCCUGAGUUCAAUUCCCAGUACAAAAACAAACUAAAUAUUCUCUGAGGCCAUAUUAAGAGUUUUACAAGACAGGAGUACAUGCGAAUGUUUCAAACCAAGAUCCAUGCUCUAUAGGGACUGGUAUUUUGGGCCAGCUGCUCUUCCAGACCCAGUGUUAUCAAAAGGCAUCUAUACAGGAUUUUUUUCCUUUUUUUUUAAACACAGGACUGGAGGAUAUCACUUAUAUUUAGUAGAUGGAGCCAAAUGUUAAAUGUAGGGAGUUCUUCACAACAAAUUAUUGAUUUCAAUUAUGCCCCUACAUAAGUGUGAAAGGGGACUCAGAAGAGGUUUCAGAAUGGAGUUUUCAGAAUGCCAGAGGUAAAGGUAAACAUUAAGCCUUCAAGUAAAUAGAGGUUUUCCAUUUGAGUAUGAACAUGGCAAGUUCUUAGAACAUUUCUUAACACCUCAUCAUUAGCCAAGUAUUGGUUUAGUAGCUAAACUGACAUACUUAGAUUUAAUCAACUCUAGAGAACAUUAUACUUUAUCCCUACUUAUUUGAUAUCCAAAUUCCAUCACAAACCCUGCUGAAAAAAAAAUUAAGUGAACCUUGCUGAGGUGUCCAGAAAGGUAACAACCUGUGAAAUCUGAGGAUUCUUUUCCUCUCCCUGCAGCUAACUGGUAUUCUGGAAAACAACUCUGCAUUGAUACCUUCCUUUAACUCCCCAUAGAAAGUCCUUUAUAGAAUCAUGACUUAAUAUUCUCCUUUUUUGAGGAUUGGUAGAUAAAAAUGAGUCAAUAACAUUCCUUUAACGUUUUAAUGUCUCAUGUUCCUUGUCUAGAUAUUCUAAAAUUUAGUGUUAGGAAAUUUUUUUCUCUUUUGAUACUUGCUGAUAUUAUGUAGUAGAUCUAGGUAAUUCAUUUUCUUCCCUUUUGCUUUGAUUGCUGAGAAACUCAAAGCUGAAACUUGUGCUUAAUUAGAAUUAAUUAAUUUUAAACUAGGUUUUCUAGUAUGUAACCUUUUCAGUAGGACUUGAAGUAAUUCUUCAUUUUGUUGUAUAUUUUACAUGCAAAACAAUGACCACAGAUUAGUUGCCUGUUCUUGAAUUUUAUUUGAAUGGAAUCAUAUAGUAUGUAAUCCGUAUGUACAUAAUCUUUUUUUUUUUUGUCCUAAUUCAUAGCCACAGAGAAUAAAAUUUGUGCAUACUUGAAACAAAGCAUGUUCCAUGGUAGCAUACAUAGCUGAUAUGCAUGGGAUUUUUUAAAAUUUUGAUUUAUAUUUGUUUUUGUACCUAAUUCAUACAAUUCUGUUUCCGUAGCUCUUCUUUGGUGUAUUUAGACAUUCCUUUUCUAUCCUCUCAACCAAAGACAUUUAUAAAGCACAAAUCUAGUGACAUCCAGAGAAAGUUCACACAGAGCUAUUUUUAUUUUAUUGAUUUUAUUUUGCAAACUCGUUUAUCUCCAUUCUACUUCCAGAGAAUAAUCAAAACCCAAUAACAUAUAUAAUCUUUUUACCUGGCUUUUUUCCACUUUUAUGUUUUGGGCAUUCAUCCAUGUUGUAUAAAUUAGUAGUUGUUUCUUUUCAGUUGCUAAAUAAUAUUUCAUUUUUUGUAUAUGAGUUAUCCUUUCUCCUGUGUAUGAGUAUUUUGGUUGUUUAUAGUUUAUGGCUGGUAUGAAU
This 5315-nucleotide long non-coding RNA is filed under the name Marmota monax (woodchuck). The stretch from base 2304 to 2370 matches the Rfam family "tRNA". The record is from RNAcentral. Lineage: Eukaryota; Metazoa; Chordata; Mammalia; Rodentia; Sciuridae.